RNAcentral lists this ribosomal RNA (449 nucleotides) under uncultured bacterium. Its description in RNAcentral is "partial 16S ribosomal RNA". It matches the Rfam family "Bacterial small subunit ribosomal RNA", at positions 29 to 523 of the family's 1533-position model. The record is from RNAcentral.
AGCGAACGCUGGCGGCAGGCCUAACACAUGCAAGUCGAACGGACCCUUCGGGGUUAGUGGCGGACGGGUGAGUAACACGUGGGAACGUGCCUUUAGGUUCGGAAUAGCUCCUGGAAACGGGUGGUAAUGCCGAAUGUGCCCUCCGGGGGAAAGAUUUAUCGCCUGUAGAGCGGCCCGCGUCUGAUUAGCUAGUUGGUGAGGUAACGGCUCACCAAGGCGACGAUCAGUAGCUGGUCUGAGAGGAUGACCAGCCACACUGGGACUGAGACACGGCCCAGACUCCUACGGGAGGCAGCAGUGGGGAAUCUUGCGCAAUGGGCGAAAGCCUGACGCAGCCAUGCCGCGUGAAUGAUGAAGGUCUUAGGAUUGUAAAAUUCUUUCACCGGGGACGAUAAUGACGGUACCCGGAGAAGAAGCCCCGGCUAACUUCGUGCCAGCAGCCGCUGUAA